RNAcentral lists this small RNA (128 nucleotides) under Roseburia sp. CAG:50. RNAcentral's name for it is "Clostridiales-1 RNA". It matches the Rfam family "Clostridiales-1 RNA". Lineage: Bacteria; Bacillati; Bacillota; Clostridia; Lachnospirales; Lachnospiraceae. The record is from Rfam by way of RNAcentral.
UGGUGUUUGCCAGAAUGAAAGGGCAGGAAGGUGAGCAGUAGCAUAAAAGUGGAGCGUCAGCUUCACGAUAUGCGAAUAUUGGGUAGAAUUGUGGGAGUACGAAGUACGGAACAAUUCGUAAGGCAUCU